Amphimedon queenslandica is the source of this 160-nucleotide long non-coding RNA. RefSeq lists it as uncharacterized. The record is from RefSeq and is a predicted model, not a curated record. NCBI's taxonomy places the organism in Eukaryota, Metazoa, Porifera, Demospongiae, Haplosclerida, Niphatidae. The transcript has 3 exons.
GAAUACCGCAUUAAAUGUCAUACAGAUUCUACUUCAGCAACAUACAAAAUCAUAAAGGGAAUGAGAACAGAAAUAGAACAAAUAUUAACAAAUAAAACUGGUUUGCUGGAUCAGAAUGAAUCAUUAAUAGAUAUUAAGAGAGAAAUAGCUGAACUACAAG